GUCGGUGCUUCUAUCGCAGAGGGUCCACCCGUACCCAUUCCGAACACGGAAGUUAAGCUCUGCUGAGGCGAAAAUACUUGUCUGGCGACGGACCGGAAAAAUAGCUCAGUGCCGACA
Molecule: ribosomal RNA, 117 nt
Filed under: Bacteroidaceae bacterium
Lineage: Bacteria; Pseudomonadati; Bacteroidota; Bacteroidia; Bacteroidales; Bacteroidaceae
Source: RNAcentral